This 381-nucleotide ribosomal RNA is filed under the name uncultured bacterium. RNAcentral describes it as "bacterial SSU rRNA". It matches the Rfam family "Bacterial small subunit ribosomal RNA", at positions 8 to 389 of the family's 1533-position model. The record is from RNAcentral.
AGAGUUUGAUCCUGGCUCAGAUUGAACGCUGGCGGAAUGCUUUACACAUGCAAGUCGAACGGCAGCACGGGAGCUUGCUCCUGGUGGCGAGUGGCGAACGGGUGAGUAACAUAUCGGAACAUAUCCUAUCGUGGGGGAUAACUAGUCGAAAGACUAGCUAAUACCGCAUACGUCCUGAGGGAGAAAGCGGGGGCUCGCAAGACCUCGCGCGAUUGGAGUGGCCGAUAUCUGAUUAGCUAGAUGGUGAGGUAAAAGCUCACCAUGGCGACGAUCAGUAGCUGGUCUGAGAGGAUGAUCAGCCACACUGGGACUGAGACACGGCCCAGACUCCUACGGGAGGCAGCAGUGGGGAAUUUUGGACAAUGGGCGAAAGCCUGAUCC